UACGGGGGGGGGCAAGCGUUGUUCGGAAUUACUGGGCGUAAAGGGCUCGUAGGCGGCCAACUAAGUCGGAUGUGAAAUCCCCAGGCUCAACCUGGGAACUGCAUCCGAUACUGGAUGGCUUGAAUCCGGGAGAGGGAUGCAGAAUUCCAGGUGUAGCGGUGAAAUGCGUAGAUAUCUGGGAGGAAUACCGGUGGCGAAGGCGGCAUCCUGGACCGGCAUUGACGCUGAGGAGCGAAAGCCAGGGGAGCAAACGGG
RNAcentral lists this ribosomal RNA (255 nucleotides) under uncultured bacterium. RNAcentral's name for it is "partial 16S ribosomal RNA". It matches the Rfam family "Bacterial small subunit ribosomal RNA", at positions 524 to 776 of the family's 1533-position model. The record is from RNAcentral.